CCUACGGGGUGCAGCAGUCGAGAAUCAUUCACAAUGGGGGAAACCCUGAUGGUGCGACGCCGCGUGGGGGAAUGAAGGUCUUCGGAUUGUAAACCCCUGUCAUGUGGGAGCAAAUUAAAAAGAUAGUACCACAAGAGUAAGAGACGGCUAACUCUGUGCCAGCAGCCGCGGUAAUACAGAGGUCUCAAGCGUUGUUCGGAAUCACUGGGCGUAAGGCGUGCGUAGGCUGUUUCGUAAGUCGUGUGUGAAAGGCGCGGGCUCAACCCGCGGACGGCACAUGAUACUGCGAGACUAGAGUAAUGGAGGGGGAACCGGAAUUCUCGGUGUAGCAGUGAAAUGCGUAGAUAUCGAGAGGAACACUCGUGGCGAAGGCGGGUUCCUGGACAUUAACUGACGCUGAGGCACGAAGGCCAGGGGAGCGAAAGGGAUUAGAUACCCUAGUAGUC
This 446-nucleotide ribosomal RNA is filed under the name uncultured bacterium. Its description in RNAcentral is "partial 16S ribosomal RNA". It matches the Rfam family "Bacterial small subunit ribosomal RNA", at positions 338 to 795 of the family's 1533-position model. The record is from RNAcentral.